GACGAACGCUGGCGGCGUGCUUAACACAUGCAAGUCGAACGGAAAGGCCCUGCUUUUGUGGGGUGCUCGAGUGGCGAACGGGUGAGUAACACGUGAGUAACCUGCCCUUGACUUUGGGAUAACUUCAGGAAACUGGGGCUAAUACCGGAUAGGAGCUCCUGCUGCAUGGUGGGGGUUGGAAAGUUUCGGCGGUUGGGGAUGGACUCGCGGCUUAUCAGCUUGUUGGUGGGGUAGUGGCUUACCAAGGCUUUGACGGGUAGCCGGCCUGAGAGGGUGACCGGCCACAUUGGGACUGAGAUACGGCCCAGACUCCUACGGGAGGCAGCAGUGGGGAAUAUUGCACAAUGGGCGGAAGCCUGAUGCAGCAACGCCGCGUGCGGGAUGACGGCCUUCGGGUGGUAAACCGCUUUCGCCUGUGACGAAGCGUGAGUGACGGGAAUGGGUAAAGAAGCACCGGCGAACUACGU
RNAcentral lists this ribosomal RNA (467 nucleotides) under uncultured bacterium. RNAcentral describes it as "partial 16S ribosomal RNA". It matches the Rfam family "Bacterial small subunit ribosomal RNA", at positions 28 to 506 of the family's 1533-position model. The record is from RNAcentral.